This 229-nucleotide ribosomal RNA is filed under the name uncultured bacterium. RNAcentral describes it as "partial 16S ribosomal RNA". It matches the Rfam family "Bacterial small subunit ribosomal RNA", at positions 568 to 796 of the family's 1533-position model. The record is from RNAcentral.
UGCGCAGGCGGGGCAAUAAGUCAGUGGUGAAAUCCUGCGGCUUAACCGUAGAACUGCCAUUGAUACUGUUGCCCUUGAGUAUAGUUGAGGUGGGCGGAAUAUGUAAUGUAGCGGCGAAAUGCAUAGAUAUUACAUAGAACACCAAUUGCGAAGGCAGCUCACUAAGCUAUCACUGACGCUGAGGCACGAAAGCGUGGGGAGCGAACAGGAUUAGAUACCCUGGUAGUCC